AGAAGAAAUGCCGCAUCCAAGUGAGUGAGAGAGGGAAACACCUCUACGAGCCUACGUUCUUUGUUAAUGUUAACAUCUACAGAGGCAACGCCUGUUUUUUUGCACUCCGUUAAAUGUCUCUUCCCAAACCCGUAACCAUUCAGGAUUGCUCUUUCGUGACGCUACCAGUGGCAAAGGCUCCCCGGAAAGAUGAUCUACAAUUAAUCCCUACAUGUUUGAACCUGAGGCGUCAGAUGACGACAAUUUACUUGACACAGCAGAUGUCGUCAUGACGCCAAUUGACAGCUCGACACUUCACGAACGGGAGAGUGAGUGCUAAAACUGGAUAUCAGGUAAUGGGACAGCUCCUACCGAUCUAAAUAUGG
Corythoichthys intestinalis (scribbled pipefish) is the source of this 365-nucleotide long non-coding RNA. RefSeq lists it as uncharacterized. The record is from RefSeq and is a predicted model, not a curated record. Lineage: Eukaryota; Metazoa; Chordata; Actinopteri; Syngnathiformes; Syngnathidae. The transcript is spliced from 4 exons.